Diorhabda sublineata is the source of this 132-nucleotide small nucleolar RNA. Lineage: Eukaryota; Metazoa; Arthropoda; Insecta; Coleoptera; Chrysomelidae. The record is from RefSeq and is a predicted model, not a curated record.
UUCCAAAGUGUUGAGUACAGGAUGUUCUUUAUAGUGAACAUUGUGAAAUUUAAACUUUGGAAAAUUACUAAGUUUUCGAAAACAUCUUUGGAGUACUUAAUAUGCUUUAAAGAAAGUUUCAGGAACAAACAU